RNAcentral lists this transfer RNA (72 nucleotides) under Tolypothrix tenuis PCC 7101. RNAcentral describes it as "tRNA-Gly". It matches the Rfam family "tRNA". From Rfam's summary of the family: Transfer RNA (tRNA) molecules are approximately 80 nucleotides in length. Their secondary structure includes four short double-helical elements and three loops (D, anti-codon, and T loops). The record is from RNAcentral. Lineage: Bacteria; Bacillati; Cyanobacteriota; Cyanophyceae; Nostocales; Tolypothrichaceae. RNAcentral also lists the same sequence under 3 other names.
GCGGAUGUGGUGUAAGGGUAACACUGGAGUAUGCCAAGCUUCAGAUACGAGUUCAAAUCUCGUCUUCCGCUC